UGGUUCUGGCAUCGAUGAAGAACGCAGCGAAAUGCGAUAAGUAAUGUGAAUUGCAGAAUUCAGUGAAUCAUCGAAUCUUUGAACGCACAUUGCGCCCCUUGGUAUUCCGGGGGGCAUGCCUGUUCGAGCGUCAUUUCACCACUCAAGCCUGGCUUGGUAUUGGGCGCCGCGGGACCCCCGCGCGCCUCAAAGUCCUCUUUCGGCUGAGCGACCCGCCUCUAAGCGUUGUGGCAACUAUUCGCGGCGAGAUCGGGGCGCGACGGCCGUUAAAUCAUUUCAUUCAGGUUGACCUCGGAUCAGGUAGGGAUACCCGCUGA
This 317-nucleotide unclassified non-coding RNA is filed under the name uncultured fungus. RNAcentral's name for it is "partial contains 5.8S ribosomal RNA and internal transcribed spacer 2". The stretch from base 1 to 133 matches the Rfam family "5.8S ribosomal RNA", at positions 22 to 154 of the family's 154-position model. Lineage: Eukaryota; Fungi. The record is from RNAcentral.